CAUAGGUUAAUGAGGCGAACCGGGGGAACUGAAACAUCUAAGUACCCCGAGGAAAAGAAAUCAACCGAGAUUCCCCCAGUAGCGGCGAGCGAACGGGGAGCAGCCCAGAGCCUGAAUCAGUAUGUGUGUUAGUGGAAGCGUCUGGAAAGGCGCGCGAUACAGGGUGACAGCCCCGUACACAAAAAUGCACAUGCUGUGAGCUCGAUGAGUAGGGCGGGACACGUGGUAUCCUGUCUGAAUAUGGGGGGACCAUCCUCCAAGGCUAAAUACUCCUGACUGACCGAUAGUGAACCAGUACCGUGAGGGAAAGGCGAAAAGAACCCCGGCGAGGGGAGUGAAAAAGAACCUGAAACCGUGUACGUACAAGCAGUGGGAGCACGCUUAGGCGUGUGACUGCGUACCUUUUGUAUAAUGGGUCAGCGACUUAUAUUCUGUAGCAAGGUUAACCGAAUAGGGGAGCCGAAGGGAAACCGAGUCUUAACUGGGCGUUAAGUUGCAGGGUAUAGACCCGAAACCCGGUGAUCUAGCCAUGGGCAGGUUGAAGGUUGGGUAACACUAACUGGAGGACCGAACCGACUAAUGUUGAAAAAUUAGCGGAUGACUUGUGGCUGGGGGUGAAAGGCCAAUCAAACCGGGAGAUAGCUGGUUCUCCCCGAAAGCUAUUUAGGUAGCGCCUCGUGAAUUCAUCUCCGGGGGUAGAGCACUGUUUCGGCAAGGGGGUCAUCCCGACUUACCAACCCGAUGCAAACUGCGAAU
This 756-nucleotide ribosomal RNA is filed under the name Escherichia coli. RNAcentral describes it as "partial 23S ribosomal RNA". It matches the Rfam family "Bacterial large subunit ribosomal RNA", at positions 165 to 961 of the family's 2925-position model. The record is from RNAcentral. Lineage: Bacteria; Pseudomonadati; Pseudomonadota; Gammaproteobacteria; Enterobacterales; Enterobacteriaceae.